This 636-nucleotide long non-coding RNA is filed under the name Bos indicus x Bos taurus (hybrid cattle). Its description in RNAcentral is "lncRNA (ENSBIXG00000000434.1)". Lineage: Eukaryota; Metazoa; Chordata; Mammalia; Artiodactyla; Bovidae. The record is from RNAcentral.
AUGUGCGACCACCCAGAGCCUCAGACUGUGACUCCGGGAAACAGGGUCUGUGCAGACAAUGAGUUAAGGCUGGAGACACGCUCCUCCUGGGUCAGGAUGGCCCUCAACCCGAUGACCGGCGUCCUUGUAAGAGGAGGUGCAGACACAGAGGAGGAGCCACAGCAUGGUGGGGGUGGAGGUUUGAGCAAGCCGGCUGCGAGCCUGGAGUCACCGGGGACUUCACAGGGAAGGAGUAGGGGCACCCCAGCCUCUUUCAAGAGCAUGUGCUCAGCCGCUUCAGUUGUGUCUGACUCCUGCAACCCCGCGGACUGUAGCCUGCCAGGCUCCUCUGUCUGUGGGAUUCUCCAGGCAAGAAUCCUGGAGUGCGUUGACAUUUCCUCCUCCAGGGGAUCUUCCUGAUCCAGGGACAGAACGAGGGUCUCCUGCACUCACAGGUGGGCGGGCCCUUUACCUGGGAAGCCGCGUCAAGAGGCUGUGCCUGGAAAGAAAACACGAUGGCUCACAGAGAAAGGGCUAGAGGGGGCCUCGGGAAAGUGGAGUUCAUUCCCAUAAACUUGAACGUUUGGCAGCAAUUUCAUGAAAAAAACAUUCUUUUUAAGAUCAAGUUAAAAUAAACACCGGUGUUAGAGAUCCGCA